Molecule: ribosomal RNA, 428 nt
Filed under: uncultured bacterium
Lineage: Bacteria
Description: partial 16S ribosomal RNA
Rfam family: Bacterial small subunit ribosomal RNA
Source: RNAcentral
GUAGGGAAUAUUGCACAAUGGGGGAAACCCUGAUGCAGCGACGCCGCGUGAGUGAUGAAGGCCUUCGGGUCGUAAAGCUCUGUCGUAUGGGACUAACAAAAUGAAGGUACCAUGCAAGAAAGGAUCGGCUAACUUCGUGCCAGCAGCCGCGGUAAGACGAGGGAUCCUAGCGUUGUUCGGAAUUAUUGGGCGUAAAGCGGGUGUAGGCGGGCCUGUCAGUCAGGUGUGAAAUCCCAGGGCUUAACCCUGGAAGUGCACUUGAUACUGCAGGUCUUGAGUGUGGUAGAGGCUAUUAGAAUUCUUGGUGUAGUGGUGAAAUACGUAGAUAUCAAGAGGAAUACCGGAGGCGAAGGCGGAUAGCUGGGCCAACACUGACGCUGAGACCCGAAAGCGUGGGGAUCAAACAGGAUUAGAUACCCGUGUAGUCC